AUAGGGUUAGUAGUGUGGUUAAGAUUACAGUUAGGUUUAAAAUCUAAUUUUAAAAAGAGAAAUUGCUGAAAUAGGCAGGGUUGCUUCCCAACCGAAACAUUUUAAAACAUUUGGUACAUAUAUUAUGCGGCAGACCAGGGGGGUUGGUCAAAACGUUUACACAGAGAGCAGGACUAGCUCAGUUUCAAGGGUGUUUAUUUGAAUAACAAACCAAAAGAAAAUAAUAAGUCUCCCCCAUGAGACCCUCUCCGGGAUACUUUCUUCUGGGCUCCGGGUCUUACUGUAUCCUGUGGGGAACAAAAACGGAAUUCCCUCCCUUUACCUCCAGAACCAUCCCCAGCUAUACGUGUGCUGCCCUUCUGGCAGCUUUAUGGGACCCGUCCAGCUGGUGAGCAAUCAGCCCUUGAUUACUCACCAACCACAAUCAGCCCCAAUUAGUCCUGGCCGGAGAGCCCGUCGAGACCUGGCAAGUCCAGUAGAGGGAGCCAUCGCCUCGUGAUGUAUACUCGGUCUGUCACCAGGGCUCGACCAGUCUCCCCCUGAUGGCUGACCUGCUAUACGCCACAAUUAUGACGACAUUUUGUGAAGUUUUUGUUCGUUAUGGUGUUCGGCGAGGGUUUUGACGGCUGUUCGUGCACACUACAUUUUGUUCUGGAGGCCAGCCGAAGUUCGGGAGCCGAAGUAUAUGCCCCUUCGUCCUUGAUUGGUCAACUGUAAGGGUGACGUAAGUUUCUUCUUCUUCAGCCCGAAACUCAUAGGUGGCGGCAACACACCCGGUGUAGUCUACCAUACAACUUUAAAGAAGAAGAAGACCUAAAUUCAGUGUGUAUUCAACAUGGCGAACAACAACUUCAAGCAUAAAGAACAACAACAACUUCAAGCAUAAAAAACGACAACAAAACAACUUCAAGCAUCGAUUGACCGAGGAGGUACAGAAGUACCUUAACCACUACAAUUAUAGCCAUGCAUUAUAUAAAGAACAGCAUGUAAAUGCCAAUUAAUGGAGGGUGAUUGCGGAAACGCUGGGGUCCGAUCCAACCACUUGUUUGAAAAAGUGGGGUAUGGUUCGCAACAAGUUUGUCAAGGCAAAGAAAAGAAACAAGGGCCACAGUGGAAAUGUUUGUGGAAAUGCUCCUACAGAAAUGUUGCUGCUGGCUUGUUCAGCACGGGAAGACUGAAAGCAACAUGAUGUCUUCACCAAAGGAUGAGAGGCACAAACACCAGUGAAUGGAGACAUCACCUGGUUUUGUUCUCUUCGCCCCAGUAUUGCCUGUUCACCAGCCCCAAACACUACUUCUCCAGACACUCUUAAUUCCCUCUCCGCAGGGCCCUGGCACCUACAGCUGACUUCAUGGAUGAACUCUUGCCAAAACUCUGGGAGAAGUUUGAUCACCAGCUGCAAGACGAGGAGGAUGUGGUCUGAAUGACUGGGACUACAAUGAAAUUAAGUUUGGUUGUUGUUCAGACAUCUCAGAAGUCAGACACAUUUGUUUCCAUAGACACUUGUUUACAUGUCUGUUCUUAGCAGACACUUUUGUACUGUGGCUUACUUUCAGAGCCCAGAAGCAAGAAUAAAGGUUUAUUUAUGUGUGCUGAAAAA
Molecule: long non-coding RNA, 1600 nt
Organism: Oncorhynchus kisutch (coho salmon)
Lineage: Eukaryota; Metazoa; Chordata; Actinopteri; Salmoniformes; Salmonidae
Exons: 2
Source: RefSeq, a predicted model, not a curated record